RNAcentral lists this ribosomal RNA (130 nucleotides) under Trichoderma nordicum. RNAcentral's name for it is "Trichoderma sp. GZ-2019b partial 28S ribosomal RNA". Lineage: Eukaryota; Fungi; Ascomycota; Sordariomycetes; Hypocreales; Hypocreaceae. The record is from RNAcentral.
CCUCUCCUGCGCAGUAGUUUGCACAACUCGCACCGGGAGCGCGGCGCGUCCACGUCCGUAAAACACCCAACUUUCUGAAAUGUUGACCUCGGAUCAGGUAGGAAUACCCGCUGAACUUAAGCAUAUCAAA